Molecule: RNA transcript, 2152 nt
Organism: Gossypium raimondii (Peruvian cotton)
Lineage: Eukaryota; Viridiplantae; Streptophyta; Magnoliopsida; Malvales; Malvaceae
Gene name: oxysterol-binding protein-related protein 2A
Exons: 10
Source: RefSeq, a predicted model, not a curated record
UAUAGUAAAUUAGUUAGAGAUAGUGUUGGGCAUAGACAUGCAUCAGUCACCGGAGAUUUCAUUGGCUCGAGCUAGGAGCAUGCCGGCGGGGACUUUACCGGUAUGUGAAUCAGGAACUGCGGCGAGAGUGACGAAGGGAGGAUCCGAAGGCACCGUCGCCGGAAUUUUCUAGAAGUGAACUAAUAACGGCAAAAAGUAAUGGAGAUCGAGGUGGUUUUCGCUUCGUAAUAGUGUUAUCUUACUCCAAGAUUCACCGGCCGCAGGCGCUAAGCCUCCUCUCUCCGACCGGUGACGUCAGAUUGAUAGCCUGAUAUAUAUUGCUUUGGGGCUUCUCGGAAUUCAGUGCAACUGAAUCAUCUGAUGAAGAUGAAACCUCCUUCUAUGACACAAAACAGUAUUUCACCGAACUCGCUGUUAGUUUUCAAUGCUUAAGAAGGGCAGCUGAUCGAGCAGAUAAUCAGAAAGAAACUGAAAAUUAUUGUGGAAAAGAUGCAUGGUGAUAAAGAAGAUUGUGAUUCUGGAUAUCCUCAAAUCGAAAGGCGAAAAAAGCUUCCCGAUCCAGUUCUAAGAGAGAAAGGGGUUAGCCUUUGGUCUCUGAUCAAAGACAAUGUGGGAAAGGAUCUGACACGAGUUUGUCUCCCUGUUUACUUCAAUGAGCCAAUAUCAUCCCUUCAGAAAUGUUUCGAGGACCUAGAAUAUUCGGAUCUUUUGGACAGAGCAUACAAGUAUGGAAAAGAAGGGAACAGCCUCCAACGGAUUCUUAAUGUUGCUGCAUUUGCUGUUUCCGGGUAUUCUUCUUCUGAAGGCCGGCAUUGUAAGCCUUUCAAUCCUUUACUAGGAGAAACUUUUGAAGCGGACUAUCCUGAAAAAGGACUUCAUUUCUUCUCUGAGAAGGUUAGUCACCAUCCAACCCUUCUUGCAUUUCAUUGUGAAGGCAAAGGGUGGAAAUUCUGGGGUGAUAGUAACCUCCGCUCGAAGUUUUCCAGGCGUUCAAUUCAGCUUGACCCUGUUGGCGUUCUGACCCUGGAGUUUGAUGAUGGUGAAACAUUUCAGUGGAGCAAGGUAACUACUAAUAUUUAUAAUCUCAUCCUUGGUCAAGUGUAUUGUGAUCACCAUGGAUUGAUGCAAAUCCGUGGGAACAGCCAAUAUUCAUGCAAACUCAAAUUCAAAGAGCAAUCUAUUAUUGAGCGGAACCCUCACCAGGUCCAUGGAUUUGUUGAAGACCAUUCAGGUAAAAAGGUUGCUACAUUAUUUGGCAAAUGGGAUGACAGCAUGUAUUAUGUCAACGGUGAGGUGAAGGGGAGUGGCAAGCCAAAGGUCUGCUGUCCUUCAGAAGCCACCUUGCUAUGGAAAAGGAAUGAGCCAGCUCCUAAUCGGACUCGCUACAACUUAACAUCAUUUGCGAUCACACUAAAUGAGAUAACACCGGGGUUGCAGGAGAAGCUCCCACCUACAGAUUCUAGGCUUCGACCAGACCAACGUCAUUUAGAGAACGGGGAAUUUGAUGGAGCAAAUUCAGAGAAACAACGGUUGGAAAGGAGGCAAAGAAUGUCGAGAAAACUACAAGAAAGUGGCUGGAAACCUAGAUGGUUCCGGAAAGAUGGUAACGGAAGCUACCACUACGUGGGCGGAUAUUGGGAAGCAAGAGAGCAGGCGAACUGGGAUGGAUGCCCAGAUAUAUUUGGUGAAUUCAAUGAAGAAACUGUUGAUUCCUCUGGAUGAUAACUCGACUCGUAUUCAACACUUGCAUCCAUUUCAAAGUAACAUGAAUGAACAAACAUUAAGGGAUAAUCAUGGAGCACAUUCAGACAAACUUUGAUUCCAGAUUACCGCCAUUAUCUGUUCUCAGAGAUUGCAGACCAAUUUUCAGAUGUUCAUCCCAUGAGGCAACCAAUAUUUGGACCUGAUGCAGCGGAUGAAUAAGAGAAGUUAAUGGAAGUUCAAGGGAUUCAAACCAUAUAUAAUGAAAGUUUUUGUUUUGAGAAAAUGUUAAUUUUAUUGAUUCAAACAUCGAUUUUUAAAAAUAUAAUGUAUAUAAUUAUUGAUUUAAUUGUAAUAUUUCAUUUGUAAAUUGAUAAAUUUCACCUUUUGAAUUUAUUCAUUUAUUAUGUAUUACAUUUGAAUCCAACAGAAAUGAGAAGCAUAUUAAUGA